UACAGAGGUCCCGAGCGUUGUUCGGAUUUAUUGGGCGUAAAGGGCUCGUAGGUGGCCAACUAAGUCAGACGUGAAAUCCCUCAGCUUAACUGGGGAACUGCGUCUGAUACUGGAUGGCUUGAGUUUGGGAGAGGGAUGCGGAAUUCCAGGUGUAGCGGUGAAAUGCGUAGAUAUCUGGAGGAACACCGGUGGCGAAGGCGGCAUCCUGGACCAACACUGACACUGAGGAGCGAAAGCCAGGGGAGCAAACGGG
Molecule: ribosomal RNA, 253 nt
Filed under: uncultured bacterium
Lineage: Bacteria
Description: partial 16S ribosomal RNA
Rfam family: Bacterial small subunit ribosomal RNA
Source: RNAcentral